UCCUUGAGCUCGGUGGUGCACUGGAUG
RNAcentral lists this non-coding RNA (27 nucleotides) under Mus musculus (house mouse). The record is from RNAcentral. Lineage: Eukaryota; Metazoa; Chordata; Mammalia; Rodentia; Muridae.